AACCUGCGGAGGGAUCAUUACAGAGUUGCAAAACUCCAAACCAUUGUGAACUUACCUUUGCCGUUGCUUCGGCGGGCGGCCCGGGUCCCGACCCGGCGCCCCCCGGCCCCUUCUGGGGCGCCCGCCGGAGGUAAACCAAACUCUUGAAUUGUAUGGCCUCUCUGAGUCUUCUGUACUGAAUAAGUCAAAACUUUCAACAACGGAUCUCUUGGUUCUGGCAUCGAUGAAGAACGCAGCGAAAUGCGAUAAGUAAUGUGAAUUGCAGAAUUCAGUGAAUCAUCGAAUCUUUGAACGCACAUUGCGCCCGCCAGUAUUCUGGCGGGCAUGCCUGUUCGAGCGUCAUUUCAACCAUCAAGCCCCCGGGCUUGUGUUGGGGACCUGCGGCUGCCGCAGGCCCUGAAAACCAGUGGCGGGCUCGCUAGUCACUCCGAGCGUAGUAGUUUACACCUCGCUCAGGGCGUGCUGCGGGUUCCGGCCGUUAAAAGCCUUAUUUACCCAAGGUUGACCUCGGAUCAGGUAGGAAGACCCGCUGAACUUAAGCAUAUCAAUAA
RNAcentral lists this ribosomal RNA (551 nucleotides) under Chaetomium sp. CCF123. RNAcentral's name for it is "eukaryotic LSU rRNA". The stretch from base 189 to 342 matches the Rfam family "5.8S ribosomal RNA". Lineage: Eukaryota; Fungi; Ascomycota; Sordariomycetes; Sordariales; Chaetomiaceae. The record is from RNAcentral.